UACGUAGGUGGCAAGCGUUAUCCGGAAUUAUUGGGCGUAAAGCGCGCGCAGGCGGUUUCUUAAGUCUGAUGUGAAAGCCCACGGCUCAACCGUGGAGGGUCAUUGGAAACUGGGAGACUUGAGUGCAGAAGAGGAUAGUGGAAUUCCAUGUGUAGCGGUGAAAUGCGUAGAGAUAUGGAGGAACACCAGUGGCGAAGGCGACUUUCUGGUCUGUAACUGACGCUGAGGCGCGAAAGCGUGGGGAGCAAACAGG
RNAcentral lists this ribosomal RNA (253 nucleotides) under uncultured bacterium. RNAcentral's name for it is "partial 16S ribosomal RNA". It matches the Rfam family "Bacterial small subunit ribosomal RNA", at positions 524 to 776 of the family's 1533-position model. The record is from RNAcentral.